CUACGGGUGGCUCCAGUGGGGAAUAUUGCACAAUGGACGAAAGUCUGAUGCAGCAACGCCGCGUGGAGGAUGACACUUUUCGGAGCGUAAACUCCUUUUAUAUAGGAAGAUGAUGACGGUACUAUAUGAAUAAGCACCGGCUAACUCCGUGCCAGCAGCCGCGGUAAUACGGAGGGCGCAAGCGUUACUCGGAAUCACUGGGCGUAAAGAGCGUGUAGGCGGGUUAAUAAGUCAGAAGUGAAAUCCAAUAGCUCAACUAUUGAACUGCUUUUGAAACUGUUAACCUAGAAUAUGGGAGAGGUAGAUGGAAUUUCUGGUGUAGGGGUAAAAUCCGUAGAGAUCAGAAGGAAUACCGAUUGCGAAGGCGAUCUACUGGAACAUUAUUGACGCUGAGACGCGAAAGCGUGGGGAGCAAACAGGAUUAGAUACCCCGGUAGUC
Molecule: ribosomal RNA, 439 nt
Filed under: uncultured bacterium
Lineage: Bacteria
Description: partial 16S ribosomal RNA
Rfam family: Bacterial small subunit ribosomal RNA
Source: RNAcentral